GAGCACGUAGGUGGGUUUGUAAGUCAGAUGUGAAAGCCUUCUGUUCAACGGAAGAAUUGCAUCUGAAACUGCGAGUCUUGAGUGUAGGAGGGGAGAAUGGAACUUCUGGUGGAGCGGUGAAAUGCGUAGAUAUCAGAAGGAACGCCGGCGGCGAAAGCGAUUCUCUGGCCUAUUACUGACACUCAGUGUGCGAAAGCUAGGGGAGCAAACGGGAUUAGAUACUCCGGUAGUCCUAGCCGUAAACGAUGGGCACUAAGUAGAGGGG
This 265-nucleotide ribosomal RNA is filed under the name uncultured bacterium. Its description in RNAcentral is "partial 16S ribosomal RNA". It matches the Rfam family "Bacterial small subunit ribosomal RNA", at positions 565 to 828 of the family's 1533-position model. The record is from RNAcentral.